RNAcentral lists this long non-coding RNA (2947 nucleotides) under Salmo salar (Atlantic salmon). RNAcentral describes it as "lncRNA (ENSSSAG00000118262.1)". Lineage: Eukaryota; Metazoa; Chordata; Actinopteri; Salmoniformes; Salmonidae. The record is from RNAcentral.
CUCUUGUCGUCCUCCUCUUCCUCCUCCUCUUCCUCCUUCCAGUAUUCCCAACUGUGUAUCUGUCUGUAUCUGUUUUCAUUUUCCCAUGGAAAUGCUUUGGAACUCUGUCUAUUUCUUUGUAAUAGAUCUGGAAUGUGUUCUAAUUGGGAAUAUUUCUGUGUGAGUGUUCUGUUUGAGUGUUCUGUUCGAGUGUUCUGUUCGAGUGAUCUGUUCGAGUGUUCUGUUUGAGUGUUCUGUUCGAGUGAUCUGUUCGAGUGUUCUGUUCGAGUGUUCUGUUCGAGUGAUCUGUUCGAGUGUUCUGUUCGAGUGUUCUGUUCGAGUGUUCUGUGUGAGUGUUCUGUUUGAGUGUUCUGUUCGAGUGUUCUGUGUGAGUGUUCUGUUCGAGUGUUCUGUUCGAGUGUUCUGUUUGAGUGUUCUGUUUGAGUGUUCUGUUCGAGUGUUCUGUUCGAGUGUUCUGUUCGAGUGUUCUGUGUGAGUGUAUUCGGGUGUGCAGUAUUUUUUGGACUGAGUUGCUCUCUCUCUAUCUCACUCUCUCUCUCCCUCUCUCUCCCUCUCUCUCUCUCUCUCUCUCUCUCUCUCUUUCUCUGUCUUUUUGUCUCUCUCCGAUUUGUGUGACAGUUGAGUUAGUAGGCUGGAACUAAUUGAACUGAAAGUUUUGCAAAGUCAACAAAACUUCCCCACACCCACCCAGUCACCAUUCAACAACAGCAAUCCCCACCCUUUAACUCCAAAUCAAAUCAAAUUGUAGUUGCCACAUUUGUCACAGGUAUAGACUAACAGUGAAAUGCUUACUUACUUACGGGUCCUUUCCAACAAUGCAGAGUUAAAUUACUUAAAAAUGUUGUUUUUUUUUUAAAUAACUUAAAAAUGUUCAGUAGUGACACAAGGAAUAAAUAGUAAUAAAUACACAGUGAAUAACAAUAACGAGUAAAAAUAACAUGGUUAUAUACAGGAAGUACAAGUACCAGUUAAUAAAAUGGCUAUAAACAGGAAGUACCAGGUAAUAACAUGGUUAUAUACAGGACGUACCAGAUAAUAACAUGACUAUAUACAGGAAGUACCAGGUAAUAACAUGGUUAUAUACAGGGAGUACCAGGUAAUAACAUGGUUAUAUACAGGAAGUACCAGAUAAUAACAUGGUUAUAUACAGGGAGUACCAGGUAAUAACAUGGCUAUAUACAGGAAGUACCAGGAAAUAACAUGGCUAUAUACAGGGAGUAUAAGUAGGGAUUUGAGGUAGCUAUGUACAUACAGGUAGGGGUAAAGUGACUAGGCAUCAGGAUAGAUAAUAGACUGUAGGCAGUAUACUGUAGGUAGGGGUAAAGGAUAGAUAAUAGACAGUAACAGCAGUAUACUGUAGGUAGGGGUAAAGGAUAGAUAAUAGACAGUAACAGCAGUAUACUGUAGGUAGGGGUAAAGGAUAGAUAAUAGACAGUAACAGCAGUAUACUGUAGGUAGGGGUAAAGGAUAGAUAAUAGACAGCAACAGCAGUAUACUGCAGGUAGGGUAAAGGAUAGAUAAUAGACAGUAACAGCAGUAUACUGCAGAUAGGGUAAAGGAUAGAUAAUAGACAGUAACAGCAGUAUACUGUUGUUACUGUCUUUUAUCAGUAUUAUCAGCAGUAUACUGAGUCCAGUCAGUGUGUUGGUAGAGUCCAGUCAGUGUGUGGGUAGAGUCCAGUCAGUGUGGGGGUAGAGUCCAGUCAGUGCGGGUAGAGUCCAGUCAGUGCGGGUAGAGUCCAGUCCGUGUGUGGGUAGAGUCCAGUCAGUGUGGGUAGAGUCCAGUCAGUGUGGGUAGAGUCCAGUCAGUGUGUGGGUAGAGUCCAGUCAGUGUGGGUAGAGUCCAGUCAGUGUGGGUAGAGUCCAGUCAGUGUGGGUAGAGUCCAGUCAGUGCGGGUAGAGUCCAGUCAGUGUGGGUAGAGUCCAGUCAGUGUGUGGGUAGAGUCCAGUCAGUGUGAGUAGAGUCCAGUCAGUGUGGGUAGAGUCCAGUCAGUGUGGGUAGAGUCCAGUCAGUGUGAGGGUAGAGUCCAGUCAGUGUGGGUAGAGUCCAGUCAGUGUGGGUAGAGUCCAGUCAGUGUGGGUAGAGUCCAGUCAGUGUGGGUAGAGUCCAGUCAGUGUGGGUAGAGUCCAGUCAGUGUGUAGGUAGAGUCCAGUCAGUGUGUGGGUAGAGUCCAGUCAGUGUGGGUAGAGUCCAGUCAGUGUGGGUAGAGUCCAGUCAGUGUGGGUAGAGUCCAGUGAGUGUGGGGGUAGAGUCCAGUCAGUGUGUGGGUAGAGUCCAGUCAGUGUGGGUAGAGUCCAGUCAGUGUGGGUAGAGUCCAGUCAGUGUGGGGGUAGAGUCCAGUCAGUGUGGGGGUAGAGUCCAGUCAGUGUGGGUAGAGUCCAGUCAGUGUGAGGGUAGAGUCCUGUCAGUGUGGGGGUAGAGUCCAGUCAGUGUGGGGGUAGAGUCCAGUCAGUGUGGGGGUAGAGUCCAGUCAGUGUGGGUAGAGUCCAGUCAGUGUGGGUAGAGUCCAGUCAGUGUGGGUAGAGUCCAGUCAGUGUGGGUACUACACAACACAACACACACUAAACAACACACAAUAUACACUACACAAUACACAACACACAACACACAACACACACUAUAGAAUAUACAACACACACUAUAGAAUAUACAACACACAAUACACACAUUGGUGGAGGUUUUCUGCCUGUAUUAGACUGUCUUCUAGGGCAGUCUGCGGUAGAGGGCUGUCUUCUAGGGCAGUCUGCGGUAGAGAGCUGUCUUCUAGGGCAGUCUGUGGUAGAGAGUUGUCUUCUAGGACAGUCUGUGGUAGAGAGUUGUCUUCUAGGGCAGUCUGCGAUAGAGAGCUGUCUUCUAGGGCAGUCUGCGGUAGAGAGUUGUCUUCUAGGGCAGUCUGCGAUAGAGAGCUGUCUUCUAGGGCAGUCUGUGAUAGAGAGCUGUCUUCUAG